RNAcentral lists this ribosomal RNA (440 nucleotides) under uncultured bacterium. Its description in RNAcentral is "partial 16S ribosomal RNA". It matches the Rfam family "Bacterial small subunit ribosomal RNA", at positions 338 to 795 of the family's 1533-position model. The record is from RNAcentral.
CCUACUGGCGGCAGCAGUGGGGGAUAUUGCACAAUGGGGGGAACCCUGAUGCAGCGACGCCGCGUGGGUGAAGAAGCGCCUCGGCGCGUAAAGCCCUGUCAGCAGGGAAGAAAAUGACGGUACCUGAAGACGAAGCCCCGGCUAACUACGGGCCAGCAGCCGCGGUAAUACGUAGGGGGCAAGCGUUAUCCGGAUUUACUGGGUGGAAAGGGGGCGCAGACGGCGAUGCAAGCCAGGAGUGAAAGCCCGGGGCCCAACCCCGGGACUGCUCUUGGAACUGCGUGGCUGGAGUGCAGGAGGGGCAGGCGGAAUGCCUGGUGUAGCGGUGAAAAGCGUAGAUAUCAGGAGGAACACCGGUGGUGAAGGCGGCCUGCUGGACUGCAACUGACGUUGAGGCCCGAAAGCGUGCGGAGCAAACAGGAUUAGAUACCCGAGUAGUC